AAGAGGGAACUCCGCAGAGAAGAAACUAGCAACGAGGCCCCAAAGGUGGAAGUGCAGCCUGAGAAACUUGAGCCAGCCCGGGACUGUGCCGGCCUUGCCACUCACUCUGCAGGGUGUGGCGUGCAGGACCCCUCCGGCUUCACAAGACUGAUAUGCCUCCUGUGACAGAGAAACGGAAGCCCAAGGAGGUGAAAUAACUUGCCCCGGGACGCACAAGCAGGAAACAGAGGAGCCAGGAUUCAAACCCCCUGUGUGGCCAUCCCUGGAGCCCAGACUCUGACCGCAGCAACUUCAGCUUUCAAGUGAAAAUCAAGAUGAUGAGGUGGGGCUGACUCCUCCCAUCCCUACCUUUAGGGGUGGGGACACGAGCAAGGCCUGGCCAACAAUCAUAUUCCACAUCUAGGCUAAAGUAAUCAGUUCAGAGAUAAACGCGUGUCAGCCAAGACAGUUCAAUGAGAGAAAGUCCUGGAACUUUUUAAUGUAACUACUGGGAAAGAGAAACUCUUCUAGCUCCUGAAGCUGCUAAGGCCGGAGUUGCUAACUGUGAAGAGAGACCCUGCCUGAGAUGGAAACCUCUGCGUUCUGAGGAAGGAAGACCUGAGAGAUGGUGAUGGGGUCCUAAAGACAUUGUCUGAGUGCUGGACCAUCAAGUAAUUUAACUGAACUAACAUCUCUAUAACAUUAAGUGAACCUAAGAUGCCUGGGUGGCUAGUCAGUUAAGCAUCUAACUUUGGCUCAGAUUCAUGAUCUCACUG
Molecule: non-coding RNA, 755 nt
Organism: Puma concolor (puma)
Lineage: Eukaryota; Metazoa; Chordata; Mammalia; Carnivora; Felidae
Source: RefSeq, a predicted model, not a curated record